CCGAAGAUGUGCUUGACCCCAUGGUCCUUGAGCGCGCGGACGAUCAUCGCCGCGCCGGUCAUCUGGUUGGGAUCGUGUGUCUUGCUGUCACUCAUGGUUCGCUCCGGGGCGCCGCUGGCGCUGAUUUGGUCGAGGCUUCCUUACCGCAUGACCUGAUUUGAAACCGCUUCAAACUCUCGGGGUUAUGCGCAAAAAACAAAAAAGGGCCCGAGAGGGACCCUUCGCACACCGCCUU
Molecule: unclassified non-coding RNA, 235 nt
Filed under: Hevea brasiliensis (rubber tree)
Lineage: Eukaryota; Viridiplantae; Streptophyta; Magnoliopsida; Malpighiales; Euphorbiaceae
Source: RNAcentral